GAGGGUAUAGCUCAGUGGUAGAGUGCAUGCCUAGCAUGCACAAGGUCCUGGGUUCAAUCCCCAGUGCCCUCA
Molecule: transfer RNA, 72 nt
Filed under: Camelus bactrianus (Bactrian camel)
Lineage: Eukaryota; Metazoa; Chordata; Mammalia; Artiodactyla; Camelidae
Also listed under: 2 other names
Rfam family: tRNA
About the family: Transfer RNA (tRNA) molecules are approximately 80 nucleotides in length. Their secondary structure includes four short double-helical elements and three loops (D, anti-codon, and T loops).
Source: Rfam by way of RNAcentral